RNAcentral lists this ribosomal RNA (253 nucleotides) under uncultured bacterium. Its description in RNAcentral is "partial 16S ribosomal RNA". It matches the Rfam family "Bacterial small subunit ribosomal RNA", at positions 524 to 776 of the family's 1533-position model. The record is from RNAcentral.
GACAGAGGCCACGAACGUUGUUCGGAAUCACUGGGCAUAAAGCGCACGUAGGCGGCUAGGUCCGUCCGAUGUGAAAGCCCCCGGCUCAACCGGGGAAUUGCAUCGGAUACAGCCUGGCUCGAGGACGGUUGGGGUGAGUGGAACUCCUGGUGGAGCGGUGAAAUGCGUAGAUAUCAGGAGGAACACCGGUGGCGAAAGCGGCUCACUGGACCGUUUCUGACGCUGAGGUGCGAAAGCGUGGGGAGCAAACAGG